Long non-coding RNA from Maniola jurtina (meadow brown), 172 nucleotides. RefSeq lists it as uncharacterized. The record is from RefSeq and is a predicted model, not a curated record. The transcript is spliced from 3 exons. Lineage: Eukaryota; Metazoa; Arthropoda; Insecta; Lepidoptera; Nymphalidae.
UAGCACCUAUAGUACGGUAGUAUGGCGAUCGGGGUAUGAGGCGGGGGGACGCCCCGCACACCCGCAGUCACCCGCGCUAUCUCGCACCGGGUAAGCGCGGGGCCUGUGCGGGUGUGCGGGGCGUCACCACCCCGAUUACCAUCUCUACCUGUUGCAAAGUAUACAAGGAACC